GGUAGUGUGGCCGAGCGUAGGCAGUGGGUUGUAAACCCACACACAGGGGUUACCCUCACUACCA
RNAcentral lists this transfer RNA (64 nucleotides) under Pachydactylus parascutatus. RNAcentral's name for it is "tRNA-Tyr". It matches the Rfam family "tRNA". Rfam says of the family: Transfer RNA (tRNA) molecules are approximately 80 nucleotides in length. The record is from RNAcentral. Lineage: Eukaryota; Metazoa; Chordata; Lepidosauria; Squamata; Gekkonidae.